UUCAUUGAACCAUUAGUUGAGGGGGAGCGUGAACAAUAAACUCAUUUGCAACGUUGGGCUUUCUGGACACAUUUCAACAGAUUUCAAAGAAAACUUUGAAACACAAAUAGAAGGUAAAGUUAUGAAAAAUACCUUAGGGAACUGACUUCUUCAUUCCAAAAAUUUUCGUCGAAAAUCCUAUUGAGUGGAACAUGAAAGGCUUCAGACCAUGAGAAUUGUGUGACAGAAGUUGCUGUUGGAGUCCCCCACCUAUAAGAGUCACUCAAGAGGCCAGUGGCCUUCUUUUCAAAGGGCAUUUUGAACAUUUUUAUCUGUUCAUUUCUGAUCUCACCCAAGAGCUUCGGGCUAAUCUCAUGGUUCAGCACUUGGAAGAAGCCCCACUCAGAAGAGGCCUUCGCCAUCACUUGCAUACAAGUGUGCCUCUCGUCUUUGUCGUUGCUUUUCAAACUGCGUAGGUCUAUUAAUGGGAGUUCACAUUCCUCUUUAACUUCAUGAUCUUGGUUGUUUAGAUGUUGCUGGACUUUGUUUAGAUCAUAAAAGAAUGCUUUAUAUUGGCUGUCAAAAGGAGGGUCACAGAUAUUAUUGUAGCUAAGCAUGUCUGCUCUUGGCAUUGAAAGAUGAGUGGUGAAUGGAGAAUGUUGGUGCAGAUUUUGUUGGAUGCCUAUUGGUGCUUAUAUUCUGUCACAUGGCUGGUCUUAGAGUUUGUGUCUAAGUGGAUAAAAUGAAUAUAUACAAUUAUCACAUUUAAAGCUAACAUGGCUGAACGCUAGAUUGCAACUUUUGGUGGAACGGGAGCAUUCUGCUGAAACUUGCCUGGGGUGACCAUUUCCACGCACAUGGUGUAAUGCAAUGGUUUUUUUUCAACCUUUUGGACUCUUUGAAGACCCUGGUCUUAAAUUAUUCUGGUUUACUCCGUUCUAGUCCACAAUGUUGAUUCCCAAUGUUGAUUCCCAUAUGUGCUUUUAGAUAACAAACGACUGAUUGUUGAACACCAAAUUAGUAUUUCAGUGAUCUUUCCUUGAAAUGAUCUUCUUCUUGUCAUGACUUGAACCAGUGAAGGUUGCUCCAACUUAGUGGCUUAUCUUGGUUGAUUAUAUGCUUAUAUGUAAUCAAAGUCAAUCACCUUGACUUCGGUGCAGCAUUGGGAAUGAUAAUGUAGUAGGUAGCAUGUGCCUGCAGAUCUUAAAACGGAAGUCUGAACGUAAGAUGAAUUUGAAAGAAAAUUGCAUUGGAUAAUUAUACCGGAGGGCAUGGCAUUGACAUUUAAGGUAUGCAUCUUCCAAUGUAAAUGUUAUUAAAUGGGACUGGUAUGGACCAACAUAUGCUAAUUCUUCUGUAAAUUUCUUUUUUGUUGACUGUCAGUAUUAGACUUCACAAAGUUUGGAUCAUUUUAUAUUUGACUAGUUCAUUACUGUAUCAGAACUGCUGGAAACAUGCCCAUUUGGUAGAACAUGUGAUGUUUCCUUCAUGUGGUUGAUCAAUAAAUAUUGUCAAGUAGA
Long non-coding RNA from Dioscorea cayenensis subsp. rotundata (Guinea yam), 1499 nucleotides. RefSeq lists it as uncharacterized. The record is from RefSeq and is a predicted model, not a curated record. The transcript is spliced from 2 exons. Lineage: Eukaryota; Viridiplantae; Streptophyta; Magnoliopsida; Dioscoreales; Dioscoreaceae.